AACAAGCACCGCGACCGCCGAGCAGCGCCGAACCCAGCGCGCCCAGUCAGACCCCAGGGCCUGUGUACCGAGCAUGCGCAGUUCCCGCCCAAGCCAGGAGCAGCGUCAACCUGAGACUCCCGAGACAUUAAGAAUUCGGAAGGGAUGAGAUGGUAGAGGGGCUAGAGCUACCUCCAAGCUUUAUCCUGAGGCGGGGAGUGAAGGAGAGAUGCCCAAGGCCCAAGAGGGGCCGCGAGGGCCUUUGUCCGAUGCCACCCAGUCUGUCAGCACUCCUAGAGCUUUGGUUUUAUCUUGUAUUAGCAUGUGAAGCUUUAAGGGGGGGGCACCUACAGGCUUCUGACUGAAGUUGUGUAAACGCAACAAAAUGAAGCUUUGGAGCGUUAGGACAUUGAUGGGAGGGUGACGCCCCCCUCUAGCAGCGCGCCAGAGGGGCGAGUCAGAGGCGGCCACACACCACGGAAGUCGGGUCCAAGCCCGCUGACGUCGCCGGGGUCCCGCCCACCAACCCUCUGGACCCGCCCACAUUUCUUCUAGACCCGCCCCUUUCGGUGCCGAACUGAAGUCGAGCUCUUCCCACGCCCUGUCAGCCACGGGUGAGUUGAAAACCUGGAGAGCGGAAUCCCGAACGGCAGCCGGAAGGCCCUGGACUCCUCAUAGCAACAGCCAGCUAGGGGCAUCUAGUGGGAAGCUGGGAUUCAUUCUAGCCAACCACAUCACGUCUCUGUACCACAAGGUACCAUUCACGACCAAUAAGAGAGCGCCCCCAUACCACGUGCCUUUACUCCUUCAACCAAUCGAGAAAAACGCUAGUCGUAGGAUCCGCAAGCCCACCUCCCAGUGCCUUGCCAGGCGGGGCUCUUCGCGCACGCUCUGCCAACCAAUCGUAGGUGAGCUGGCGAGUGACGGAAGCUUCGGCCAAGCCAACCAGAGCUCGCGAGCCCCUUGCCACCGAGGCCGGCGGGAUGGAGACAGGGACCGGCUGCUGGGGUUUGGGAGGGGCAGAGAUUGAGGAGCCAGUUGCUGUGCCCUGUUCUGGCAAAAGAACAAGAUGCGUUGCAAGCCAGAAUGAUGAAUUCCACUUUUCACGUCGCCUCCGUGGCAUUCUGCCUAAAUGAUGGGCAUGGAAAUGGUGCUGAGGGAUGUGGGCUGAAUCGAGAACACAGGGACUUUUGUCUUCAGGGUGAGAAAUGUUCCGGUCCUUAAGGAAACAUCGUGCAGCAGUUGCAUGGGUCUUCCAGGCGUUCCUCCCAAAACAUUAUUUUUUUUCUUUCACUAUUGAGUUUUAAAACUUAGCGUUCUGUCGCUAGCAUUGCAUCUUAGUUACACAUCCUCUCCCACCCAUAACGUCAAAUUUAGGAGACGAUACAUCCCCAAGCUUUCCUGCAUUAUUUUUUGCAGUAACUGGUUAUUCAGUUUACUUUCUUUAAACUAUGUCCUUCUCAAACUAGUCUCACCUGUUCGUUACUGUCGCACAUUUCCUGCGAAUAACACGUUUCUGUAGUUCUGUUGUUAGAGCCUGGCAUACCUCUCCCCGUUCCUCUUUCCCACAAGGUCAUCAUGCAGAGGGGAUUUUGGUCUGAGUUAAAAGCCAGGUAUUCUUUCACCAUCUUUUCUGUCGAUAGUCAAACUACUACAAAGACUACUCAAAUUUAGUAGUUUCUUAUUUCCCUAUAGCUUCGUUAUAUUAGAAUGGAUAACUUAUAUUUGCAUUACCUUGCUGUAAUGAACACACACCAAGUUUUCAUUUAAAAUUAUCAAGGACAAAUGUCCUCUGAAUUUAAAAAUGUGUAUGUAGUAAAAUAUAACUCAGCAUUUCUUGAUUACAUAUCAUUAAAAUAUGAAUGGUACUAUCUGAGCCACCAGAAUCAGCAGUGAAGGUAUUAUAUUAAUAAAAAGGACUAAGAAUCAGGACUGUUUUAAGGGAACUGGAACCGAAGAGGAUCUACUAUUUCAUCCUAGGCUAGUUAACAUGAAAUAGUGAAUUAAAAUUGAAAGAGCUUACAUGGAUGCUUCAUAUCUGAGCUACUUUGGCAGGGAUGUUUCAAGAGGAUGUAGAGAUGGUAAAACUGAGACACAGAGAGGUUAAAGGUCUGGCCAAAGGCUCACAGUUAGUAACUAGUGGGAGACAAGAUUGGUGCCUAGGCAAUCUGACCUCAAAGCCACUUCUCUUCCCAUAUUUGAAGACAUUAAACUGGGACAUUGGCGUGAGUGACUGAUAUAGACAGAUUCUGUCACAUCCCUGGCUGCUGUUAUCACUGGUAUGUCAUCUGGUUCAUAAAAACCUCAUUUACAGCUCCCCAGUCUUUCUUUCCCUGUAUGUUGUUGGAUGCUCACAAUAACUUUGGAAGUCACAAGUUGAACAGGAUGGCAUCUCCAUCAGUGGGCCCACAAGUGACUUGGUGGAGUAGAGCCCCAUCUCUCACCUAUUUCCCAUUAAAUUAGCUUUACCUGCUAAGAAACAAAUUCUUUUGUUAAGCCACUGAGAUGUAUCUAUUACAACAAAUAAGAUUAUCUUAAUUAAUGCAUAUUAAUUUUAAUCUUGGAAAUCUGAUAAACAUUUAUUAAUCUUAAUAUUUACCUGUUGAUUCUUUAUUUUCUGCAUGCAAAUGAUAUUACCUGGUAAUAAUGAGCUUUGCUUAUAUUCUUUUCUAUAUUUUACACAUUUUAUUUCUUUUUCUUAUACUACAGUACUAGCUGAUGUCUCCUGUGCAAUGUUGAAUAAAACCAGCUAUGGUGUACCAUUUGCCUUGGUCUUGAUAAGGAAGGGAGUUAUUUAACAUUUUACCAUUAGCUGCUGUUCUUGGUGUAGGUAUUUUGUAUAUAUUCUUUACAAUAAUAUGAAAGUUCUCU
RNAcentral lists this long non-coding RNA (2850 nucleotides) under Homo sapiens (human). RNAcentral's name for it is "HSALNT0205689". The record is from RNAcentral. Lineage: Eukaryota; Metazoa; Chordata; Mammalia; Primates; Hominidae.